GGGCCGAGGCCCGGCUGGGUCGGGGCCGGGAGAGGAGCGAGAGCGGAACGGGGCAGGGAGCGGGGCAGGACCCGAGGCCGCUCCUCCACGCCGGGCCUCAGGUGUCCGCGGGCGGUGGGACCCGCCCCCCCGCAGCAGCGAGGCGCUCCGUGACUCGCCGCCCCCGGCACCGAAAAUCACAGAAUGAGCUUAGAUGGAAUAGACCUGUGCGAUCAUUGAUCCCAGGCUGUGACCGAGCACCACCGUGUCAACCAGGGCACUGAGUCUUUUCUUAAACACCUCAGGGUCGGUCACACCCCCACCUCCCUGGGCAGCCUAUUCCAGUGUCUAAUCACCUUUUCUGUGAAGAAAUUCCUGCUAAUGCCCAACCUAAACCUCCCCUGGUACAGCUGGAGACUAUGAUCUCUCGUUCUGUCACUAUCUGCGUGGGAGACGAGGCCGCUCCCCAGCCCGCUCCAGCCUCCUUUGAGGUGUAUGGCUGUCAAUAACAACAGAUUUGAGAAGAUUUCUGAUUUAUUUCUGAAGUACUUCCCUAUGAAAGAGUUUCUGUUUGGUGAAGAAGCUGUUCUGGUUCCAUCUACUGAGCAAUUGACCAAAGUUCAUGGAAGUCUCCUUUGCCUGACUUCUCUGUUUAACAAAUUCAAUGGUUUUUUAAAAGGGAAAACAAAAUAAAUACUACAAUAUGA
Haemorhous mexicanus (house finch) is the source of this 686-nucleotide long non-coding RNA. RefSeq lists it as uncharacterized. The transcript has 2 exons. NCBI's taxonomy places the organism in Eukaryota, Metazoa, Chordata, Aves, Passeriformes, Fringillidae. The record is from RefSeq and is a predicted model, not a curated record.